CAGUAGCCGCGGUAAUACCAGCGGCCCAAGUGGUGGUCGCGUUUAUUGGGCCUAAAGCGCUCGUAGCCUGGCCGGUAAGUUCCCCGUGAAAUCGGGUCGCCCAACGAUUCGGCUCGCGGGGAAUACUGUCGGUCUUGGGGCCGGGAGACGCCGAGGGUACUCCGGGGGUAGCGGUGAAAUGCUGUAAUCCUCGGGGGACUACCAGUGGCGAAGGCGCUCUGCGAUAACGGGCCUGACGGUGAGGGGCGAAAGCUGGGGGCGCGAACGGGAUUAGAUACCCCGGUAGUCCCUGUCUCUUAUA
This 301-nucleotide ribosomal RNA is filed under the name uncultured bacterium. RNAcentral's name for it is "partial 16S ribosomal RNA". It matches the Rfam family "Archaeal small subunit ribosomal RNA", at positions 459 to 759 of the family's 1478-position model. The record is from RNAcentral.